This 253-nucleotide ribosomal RNA is filed under the name uncultured bacterium. RNAcentral describes it as "partial 16S ribosomal RNA". It matches the Rfam family "Bacterial small subunit ribosomal RNA", at positions 524 to 776 of the family's 1533-position model. The record is from RNAcentral.
UACGAAGGGGGCUAGCGUUGCUCGGAAUCACUGGGCGUAAAGGGUGCGUAGGCGGACAGUUUAGUCAGAGGUGAAAGCCCAGGGCUCAACCUUGGAAUUGCCUUUGAUACUGGCUGUCUUGAGUUCGGGAGAGGUGAGUGGAAUGCCGAGUGUAGAGGUGAAAUUCGUAGAUAUUCGGCGGAACACCAGGGGCGAAGGCGACUCACUGGCGCGAUACUGACGCUGAGGCGCGAAAGCGUGGGGAGCAAACAGG